CCUACGGGUGGCAGCAGUGAGGAAUAUUGGUCAAUGGACGAGAGUCUGAACCAGCCAAGUAGCGUGAAGGAUGACUGCCCUAUGGGUUGUAAACUUCUUUUAUAUGGGAAUAAAAUGUUCCACGUGUGGGGUUUUGUAUGUACCAUAUGAAUAAGGAUCGGCUAACUCCGUGCCAGCAGCCGCGGUAAUACGGAGGAUCCGAGCGUUAUCCGGAUUUAUUGGGUUUAAAGGGAGCGUAGGUGGUUUGUUAAGUCAGUUGUGAAAGUUUGCGGCUCAACCGGAAAAUUGCCGUUGAAACUGGCAGUCUUGAGUACAGUAGAGGUAGGUGGAAUUCGUGGUGUAGCGGUGAAAUGCUUAGAUAUCACGAAGAACUCCGAUUGCGAAGGCAGCUCACUGGACUGCAACUGACACUGAAGCACGAAAGCGUGGGUAUCGAACAGGAUUAGAUACCCUAGUAGUC
This 460-nucleotide ribosomal RNA is filed under the name uncultured bacterium. Its description in RNAcentral is "partial 16S ribosomal RNA". It matches the Rfam family "Bacterial small subunit ribosomal RNA", at positions 338 to 795 of the family's 1533-position model. The record is from RNAcentral.